Echinops telfairi (small Madagascar hedgehog) is the source of this 128-nucleotide small nucleolar RNA. RefSeq annotates it as small nucleolar RNA SNORA38. The record is from RefSeq and is a predicted model, not a curated record. The transcript has a single exon. Lineage: Eukaryota; Metazoa; Chordata; Mammalia; Afrosoricida; Tenrecidae.
ACCUCUUGGCGUGUGCCUUCAGUUCCCUGUUCUUGGACACAUAAGAAUUGCAGGCAAAGAAAUGUGGACGUGGAGAAGUAUGGAGUCAGCUUGCUACUCACAGGGUCAAAGUCAUCCAUCCCACAUUG